UGAGUUGAAGCUGAAGCAAGCAUUUGGCCGUUAACCAAAAGAAUGAAGGUUUAACUCCUUUCAACUCAG
RNAcentral lists this transfer RNA (69 nucleotides) under Stichopus horrens (warty sea cucumber). RNAcentral describes it as "tRNA-Asn". It matches the Rfam family "tRNA". Rfam says of the family: Transfer RNA (tRNA) molecules are approximately 80 nucleotides in length. Their secondary structure includes four short double-helical elements and three loops (D, anti-codon, and T loops). The record is from RNAcentral. Lineage: Eukaryota; Metazoa; Echinodermata; Holothuroidea; Aspidochirotida; Stichopodidae. RNAcentral also lists the same sequence under 2 other names.